UUUUUUUGAUAAAUUAUUAAUUAUUCAAAUACUCCAUAAGCAUAAGCAUAAGGUUGGUGGAUGCAAAUAUAUUAAUUGGUCGACGCCUUUCAAUUCUCUCGAACUCUUCUGUCACUAAAAAGGAAAAAACCGCCGCUAAUUAUGGGGGUGUUGAGAUCAAAACUAGGCCAAGCCCUUUUGCUGUGGUUCGAGGGUUUCCGAGAAGCUUGUUGUCUCCAUAGGGUUUUCAUUCUCUGCCACAGAUCGAGGAAGCUUUUGAUCCGAACAGGACAGUGUUUUCUAUUGAAUGGUUUGAUUUUCUUGGGAAGUAUCUUUGUCUUAAAGUCAGUUGUCAUCCCAACACUCCAAUGGAUAUUGCCUGAUCACUGCUCACAGCUUGGUUUUCAAGAGCCAUGCCCAUUUGGUGGUAUUUUAAAAUUUUAUUCCUUCUUACGUCAUGGACUCAUACAACUUUUUUAUGUGUUAUGGUUCUACCCAUUGUAUGUAUUCAGUCUUAUUCUGAGCAACAUCUGGUACAAUGACGUUGCUAAAUAUGGUUUUGCUGCAAUGGGAAGACAUGAGCCAACUGUACCAGAACCCUCAAGCCAAAAGGAUACCUUGCAAAACCCAGCUUAUAUUGAUAAACAUGCUGGCCUUGGAGGGAUUGUGAUUGGAAUAGGAGAACAGGUCUAUUCAGUUCUUCUCUUGAGUUUCUUCUUCCUGGAGGUUUAUGCUACAGGAUUUAUACCCUACAUUGGGAAGGCACUCAAUUUCCUACUUCUAUCCUGGAUGUAUGCCUAUUACUGUUUUGAGUACAAAUGGAAUUUUUCUGAACUGGGUUUGGAUAAAAGGCUGGAUUUCUUUGAAUCCAAUUGGGCAUUUUUUGCAGGCUUUGGAAAUCCAUGCGUUCUGGCUAUCUUCUUUUUCUCUCCUCUUGUGAGCUAUGGGGUUAUGGCUAUACUCUUUCCAUUGUUUGUUCUGACAGCAACAGGCUCAGAAGCUGAGCAAGUUAUUGAUUCUCGAAGAAGAAAAUGGAAAGGUGCUGGAUUGGGAAGGCUUCCUAUAUUUUAUGCAGCAGAUACUUUGUCGCUGUGGGUCUUGUCUCUCAUUUCCCUCAAAUCUCGAGGACAAACACAAAGCAAUAAAGCACUCUAAGAAGUCAUGAUUUAAUGUUUAUACACACUUUGAACAGAUUCCGAUUUUUCAUCUUUACAAGCAAAAGCUCUGAGAAGUUAUGCCUAAUGUCCAUGUAAAUUAUGUGCAGUUGUUGAAGGUAUGAACUCUACAGAGAUUUGCGCAAAAAUAAGCAUGUAAUUAUCUUUCCUCAAGUAUGUUUCAUGUAUAUAUAGUUUGAAAUAUGAAACGUUUAAAUUAAGAAAAGUGUUGAAAAUAAUGUUAAAUACUCAUUGGCCAAAAAAAGGGGGGGAAUAUUUCAAAGUUCUCCCAUUUAUGAUCUGAAUGAAAUUUCAUUAUGGUUUGUUGAA
RNA transcript from Vitis vinifera (wine grape), 1463 nucleotides. It is a transcript of the gene named protein EI24 homolog, with no coding region annotated. Lineage: Eukaryota; Viridiplantae; Streptophyta; Magnoliopsida; Vitales; Vitaceae. The record is from RefSeq and is a predicted model, not a curated record. The transcript has 13 exons.